GAUGAAGAACGCAGCGAAACGCGAUACGUAAUGUGAAUUGCAGAAUUCAGUGAAUCAUCGAGUCUUUGAACGCACAUUGCGCCCCCUGGUAUUCCGGGGGGCAUGCCUGUCCGAGCGUCAUUGCUGCCCUCAAGCACGGCUUGUGUGUUGGGCCUCCGUCCUCCUCCCGGGGGACGGGCCCGAAAGGCAGCGGCGGCACCGCGUCCGGUCCUCGAGCGUAUGGGGCUUCGUCACCCGCUCUUGUAGGCCCGGCCGGCGCUUGCCGACACAUCAAUCUUUUUUCCAGGUUGACCUCGGAUCAGGUAGGGAUACCCGCUGAACUUAAGCAUAUCAAUAAGCGGAGGA
Molecule: unclassified non-coding RNA, 345 nt
Filed under: soil metagenome
Description: partial contains 5.8S ribosomal RNA, internal transcribed spacer 2, and large subunit ribosomal RNA
Rfam family: 5.8S ribosomal RNA (bases 1-120)
Source: RNAcentral